RNAcentral lists this ribosomal RNA (271 nucleotides) under uncultured bacterium. RNAcentral describes it as "partial 16S ribosomal RNA". It matches the Rfam family "Bacterial small subunit ribosomal RNA", at positions 523 to 796 of the family's 1533-position model. The record is from RNAcentral.
AUACUUAGGGUGCAAGCGUUAAUCGGAAUUACUGGGCGUAAAGCGCUCGUAGGCGGCUUAGUCAGUCGGAUGUGAAAGCCCUGGGCUCAACCUGGGAACUGCAUACGAUACUGGGCUAGAGUAUGGUAGAGGAUAGUGGAAUUCCAGGUGUAGCGGUGAAAUGCGUAGAUAUCUGGAGGAACAUCAGUGGCGAAGGCGACUGUCUGGACCAAUACUGACGCUGAGGUGCGAAAGCGUGGGGAGCAAACAGGAUUAGAUACCCCAGUAGUCC